Molecule: long non-coding RNA, 264 nt
Organism: Pristis pectinata (smalltooth sawfish)
Lineage: Eukaryota; Metazoa; Chordata; Chondrichthyes; Rhinopristiformes; Pristidae
Exons: 3
Source: RefSeq, a predicted model, not a curated record
UGGAUGCACUGCAGCUGCAAAAAAUAGUUAGGUCUCCCAGGCACCUCUUAUGGACGCAGAGAUUCAUAGUCAACACAAAGAAGCCAUUCAGUCAAUCGUGUGAAUGCCAGAUGAGAAAGAGAUCUCCAGCUCUUGGUCCAUAGCCCUACAUGUCACAGACCCUCAAGUACACAUUCAACCCUCAAUUUUUUGACCUGAAGAAAUUAUAAAUAUGCAAAACAGCUAGCUGGAACAAGUCAAGGACCGUGGAGAAGUAGACAAAAC